CUGGGCUCCGCCCUUGGCCCACACACCUGCUGUGAAUCUACCUGAUGACCUGGACUCCUGGGCUAUUUAAGCUGAGGCUCAGAAGGCUUCUUCGCUGGGUGGUGGACUUACUCUCGUUCUCGCACUCGUCCGUGACCCCGAUCUGUUUCCCUGGUGGCGUGGAGUGGAGUGAGAGUGAGUGUGCUGAAAACAAAUACGAGAGGGGCGAGUGAGCGGAGCGAGUGUUGGACUUUGUCCCUUUUCCCCUGGACCAUUGCACAUCCUGCCCUGUACACGUGGGGUUUGUAAAUAAAUGGACAGAGUUCAUGUUCAUGGACAUCAGGAUAAAAACAGAAGAUGGAAACCUGCCAGAUUUGAGCUGCUCAUGUGUCGUCCCUGGGCAGGUCACAUGACUCUAUCCAACACACAAAGACACACAGACACACAAGAAAAGCCAGAGAAACAAAGACAAAUCCAAACAAUCCAUCAUACUGAGUUAAAGUGAUCACAGGUCUGCUUUGUUGGAGCCUUCAAAGUGUCACAUGUGGACUUAUUACUACCACUGAAGGCCACGCCCCUCUGGUCAUGUGAUCAUGUGGUUUGU
Long non-coding RNA from Oreochromis aureus, 583 nucleotides. RefSeq lists it as uncharacterized. The record is from RefSeq and is a predicted model, not a curated record. The transcript has 3 exons. Lineage: Eukaryota; Metazoa; Chordata; Actinopteri; Cichliformes; Cichlidae.